Molecule: long non-coding RNA, 1389 nt
Filed under: Olea europaea subsp. europaea
Lineage: Eukaryota; Viridiplantae; Streptophyta; Magnoliopsida; Lamiales; Oleaceae
Source: RNAcentral
ACAUAAUGGACACGAUAUUAUUUAUCGACUUAUUAAUUGGAUAUAAUUAAUUUAUGAAUAAUUUACGCCUCUCGGGGCAUAACCCAGUGGUGCAAAGGAUAUGAGUGAGAUUAUCUCACGCAUUGCUAACAGCUGCAGGGUGAGGGUUUGAUUCUUGAGAUAUGAAAUUGAAUUUCUUGUAGGCGCCGUAUAUAAGCAGUUCUUAUUCCCUGACCUGUUGGGGCACAUCUCGCGAUUUACCUCCCUCACAAAAUUUUAAGGGCGGGACGGUGGGAGCCCUCAAAGUUGGGAUUCAACCUCUAUAAUUUGCGUGUCGAUUGAUGCUAUGCUGGCUGUUGGUAUAGCCCAAUGGCCAAUCAUUUCUUUAUGCUCCACUAUAAUUAAAGGGUUUUAUAUUUGGCAAAAAGGAAAAAUGGGCUUUCGAAUUUCAUAAGUGAUUUCCUAAUCUUAAAAACUUCUAACUUAUUUUAUUUCCCUACUCGGUACUCGAUAUCAUAUCUACUAUCCCUAAAAGUUAAUGCUAUUUAUCACUCCGAGUGAUUAAUCCUAGUCGGCAAUGUAAUUUCAUAGAAUAAUUUAAUAAUAGUCUCACUUCUCGGUGCUAAUCACCACAAGUUAUACAUAUUAAAUAGCAUUACUCAAAACUUUUGGUACCUAAAAAUUUAGUGCUUGUUUUUAAUUGAUCAAACUUCAAUUUUAAAUGUAAUCCACAUUUUUUUUAUCAAUUUUUCAACCUUGCGUUCCAUCAACUUAUAUAAAAAAAUUUGUUAAACAACCCUUCACUCAAGAUUUUAUUAGGGAUUAGUAAAAAUAGAACAACAAAUUUGAAUCGAACAACUUGGUAGUGAUAAAUUAGAUCAAAUAUGCAAUAAAAUGUGAAUAUAGACUACAUGGUUUGAGACAAUUCCACAAGAAUACGAGGUUGGAUAUGCCUCUACGGCUAUACAAAUCACUGAAUAAAGACGCAUUGUAAAUGCAUAAGCGCGUUAGGUACCCGUUUCUAUCAUUGACUUUAGCUUCAAAUUCUUUGGGACCAAAAUUAACUAAGAAAUGUAAACACGUAAAUCCAAUUAGUCCUUAAUCGCAUGAAAAAUUGAUUGGUACUUUCUUUAUGGCAAUCAAUUGCUUUAAUUAAGAAUUAAAUAAGAUUGCAUAGAGAUAUUAAUUUAUUCCAAAAAACAAUUUUACAAUUAUUUAUAAAUUUAACUUUGAUCUACUUAGGCUACUGAUGAUCGUCGGUUUAGGUGUCAAUUAAGUCGUGAUGAUGGUGUUAUCAGGUAACAGGGCCAAAUAUGAAGUAAAGAAAUUUCUAUGCAACCCAAAAAUAGGAAAAGAAAAAAUUCAAUAAUGGGAUAAAACCUAGAAGUAACAACUACUCCUUUAUUCAGG